Molecule: long non-coding RNA, 484 nt
Organism: Lacerta agilis (Sand lizard)
Lineage: Eukaryota; Metazoa; Chordata; Lepidosauria; Squamata; Lacertidae
Exons: 2
Source: RefSeq, a predicted model, not a curated record
AACUCCUUUUGCUUUUCAGUUCCAGAACGGAAUACCAGAGCCAAUGGGAAGAUUUGCCCAGGCUGCUCGUCUGACAAAGGCGACUGUUCUGCAGCGGUCACAGAAUGUAUUGGAUCUGAAACUUACUGUGUUAGUUAUGUCACACUUACAGAGAAGAAUGUCGUAAUCAGCUCCAGGAAGGGCUGCACUCGUGAAGGCAUCUGCACCCAGUUAAAAACAUUUGACGGAGGGAUUUUUCAUGAUGUUAAUCGUGUUAAAAAUGUUCAGUGUUCCCCAGCCAUGGCAGCCUCCACUUCUUCUUCUCCUCCUCCUCCUCUCUUCCUUCCCCUCCCAUUCGGGUUCCUUCUCCUGGCUCUCCUGCUGACGAAGCUUCUCUUGAAAUGAGCUUCUUGCACCAUUUCACUGCUGAAGAAAGAUGCCUCUUGUUUUUGAGUUUCAGAGGGAUUUGCCUUCCUCUAUGCUUUAUUGAGUGAAAUAAAUAAAA